UACGUAGGGGGCAAGCGUUGUCCGGAAUCAUUGGGCGUAAAGCGCGUGUAGGCGGCUUCGUAAGUCCGUUGUGAAAGUCCAGGGCUCAACCCUGGAAUGCCGAUGGAUACUGCGGAGCUAGAGUCCGGAAGAGGCGAGUGGAAUUCCUGGUGUAGCGGUGAAAUGCGCAGAUAUCAGGAGGAACACCAAUGGCGAAGGCAGCUCGCUGGGACGGAACUGACGCUGAGACGCGAAAGCGUGGGGAGCAAACAGG
Molecule: ribosomal RNA, 253 nt
Filed under: uncultured bacterium
Lineage: Bacteria
Description: partial 16S ribosomal RNA
Rfam family: Bacterial small subunit ribosomal RNA
Source: RNAcentral